Molecule: ribosomal RNA, 620 nt
Filed under: uncultured bacterium
Lineage: Bacteria
Description: partial 16S ribosomal RNA
Source: RNAcentral
GGGUAAUCGAUCAACCACCCCAUUGCCGGAUGGUUCCGCUGCUACCCAUCGGCCGGACUCUCCCACCUGCCGGUGUGACCCUGACUCUGUGCCGGGUCUGAGGAUGCCCUCCGUCGUCAUCCCUUAGAAGCCGUUACCCGCUUUUCGGACUGGCUCGCUGCGGCGCACCCCCUUCUUCCGGAAGCCCAGCAUUUGGGGACAGAAACCCCUGCUUCCACUGCCAUGGGUUCCUCCUUCGGGGCCGAUUGAUGCACGGUCGUCGGCGCCAUUAUGCAUCCCCCGCUCGCAACAGGCCUUAAUGACCCGCAUUUCCCACGCAUCCGCCAGUAAAUUCAGGACACACUUUCCGGGGCCGAAUUGGCCCCUCGCGGUACCCUUUGACCUACCGAACUCACGACCUCUCCCAACGCCUUAAGGGCCACAUCGCCACUUUACGCAUCUAUAGCCCUCCUUGUGGUCACCGCUUCCGCCGUUGGACCUGUCAUUGACUGCGACUCCGUGCUGUCGACCCCCUCGUUUGUCCUAAUCUAUGGGACCAUCAGGGUCGGCAUUUGCUACUCACGAUCCACAACGCCCAUAGCUGGGGACGUCACGGCAUCAAUUGCGUUAUUCGUGAGGCG